RNAcentral lists this non-coding RNA (239 nucleotides) under Intestinibacter bartlettii. RNAcentral's name for it is "Clostridium bartlettii T-box sequence". It matches the Rfam family "T-box leader". From Rfam's summary of the family: Uncharged tRNA acts as the effector for transcription antitermination of genes in the T-box leader family. T-boxes are found upstream of many aminoacyl-tRNA synthetase genes and some amino acid biosynthetic genes usually in Gram-positive bacteria. The anticodon of a specific tRNA base pairs to a specifier sequence within the T-box motif, and the NCCA acceptor tail of the tRNA base pairs to a conserved bulge in the T-box antiterminator hairpin. The record is from RNAcentral. Lineage: Bacteria; Bacillati; Bacillota; Clostridia; Peptostreptococcales; Peptostreptococcaceae.
AAAAAUGCAAUGAAAAAGAAAGUAAAUUUAAGUUUGAUUUACAGAGAGUAGGAAGUGGUGGAAGCCUAUAUGAUACUUAAGUUGAAACAACGCUUUGGAGUGGUUAGAAGAAAUUACAUUUUGUAAGAGUAAAGCUAAACGGAGUCUCACCGUUAAAGGAGAAAAAGUAUAAUAGUACUUUACAGAGUUGGGCUUUUUGCCAACUAGGGUGGUACCGCGGAAGUUAUCCCGUCCCUAUA